RNAcentral lists this ribosomal RNA (254 nucleotides) under uncultured bacterium. RNAcentral describes it as "partial 16S ribosomal RNA". It matches the Rfam family "Bacterial small subunit ribosomal RNA", at positions 524 to 776 of the family's 1533-position model. The record is from RNAcentral.
UACGUAGGGACCAAGCGUUGUUCGGAUUUACUGGGCGUAAAGGGCGCGUAGGCGGCGCGGUAAGUCACUUGUGAAAUCUCUGAGCUUAACUCAGAACGGCCAAGUGAUACUGCAGUGCUAGAGUGUGGAAGGGGCAAUCGGAAUUCUUGGUGUAGCGGUGAAAUGCGUAGAUAUCAAGAGGAACACCUGAGGCGAAGGCGGGUUGCUAGGCUGACACUGACGCUGAGUGCGCGAAAGCCAGGGGAGCAAACGGG